UGGUGGCGAGGCAAGAGAGAUGGCCACUGGUGUAGGCUCUUCUCCCUCUCCUAUUCGUGAUUUCGUCCAAAUCGAAAGUUCUUGUUCUUGAAUCGAAAGGGAUUGGCCUUGAAUCAAAGGUUCUUCUCAUGAAUUGAAAGAUUUUCUCUCAAUUUUGGAGGUUAUCCCAGCCUCUCUCGCCUAAUCCAAAUCCCCUUUCCCGAGUUCUGCCACCACACCCCAGCCUCCGGCCACCAUGCUGUGCGCAGGACAAUGCCUGAGCCUUAGCUCUACCGCCAUGGAUGAGGAAGCGAAGCCCGGCCCUAACACCGACGCCAACACCACUGACAUCGCCACCGCUCUCAGGCUCGGGCUCGGAGAUGGUGGAGGGGGAGGCGAAUUAGGAGAGGUUGGUGGAUCUGGUGGGUGAGAUCGCGACUAUUUCGGACUUCAGGAACGCGUACCGGAGGCAGUUCUACAACCUGUCGUGGCGGAUACGGUUGUUGGCGGCCAUGUUGGAGGAGGCCAAGGAGGCGUCCAUGACUCUGCCUACGGCGUCGGAGGCCACGCUCCGGCGUCUCAAGGAGGUGCUCGACAGCGCCGGGGAGCUGCUCCGGUUCGGCAGCAGCGGUAGCAAGAUCUUCGUGGUGGGAUUUCUCGGUUAAAGCUUGUAGCUUUGUUGCCUUGCUUAGGCCCUGCAACUUCAAUUUCUUCUGUUUACUGCUUUUCACAUUAAAUUAGGGCUCUGUUGUGGAGGUAAGAGAAUUUGCUUGACAAAUCGUUGAGAAAUUCUGCGGAGCUAACACUUCCAAUUGCACACACCGUAAUAAUCUGUUGCCUCUUAUGUAGAGUAAUUUGUUGUCAUCGGAAGUGUGAAUUAGCUUGAUACUUUAUCAAGGUUGGACUAGUUCUUGAAUGCGCAACUUCUCUGCGGGUGCAUUGCAAACGGUUUUUAUGGGGUCAAUUGACACUUGAUUUAGUAACGUGGCUCUGCUACUAGACGAAUGCAUGCAUGGCUCUGCCACUGGACGAAUGAAUUAUGAUGGGUUAACUUGAUUGGAGCACAUACUGCUCCUUUGAAUCCGGUUGUUUAUUGUGAUUAACUUCAUUUUAUGUUCUGCCAUAUACAAAUGGAUAGCUUCGAAUGAGAUUCAGUUAUGGUUGACUCCCGCCUUCCACCCAAAUCUACAGAUAAGGAGUUUACAUUUUGCAUUGUCAAAUUAUUUAGUGCAAAGAGUUAUCCAUAUUUAAUUAUGCACAGAAAAGAUUUAUUGGUUAAAAAGACCCGCUAUUUUCCCUUUUCUAAUUUUUUUCAUUCCCAUUGUGCUGCAGCAUGUAGCAUUGAAACAAUAGCUAAAAUUGCUCCAAAAUAAGGAACUGCAACAAACCAAAAUUGCUCCAAAAUAUGGUAUGCAGUGUUCUCUUGGCAUCAUCAAUUAUCCUAAAAUUGCUCCAACCUUUCAUGUAUCAUGUGGCAUAUCAGAAAUGAUAAAUGGUAAGAUAAUUGAAAUGGUUAUUCAAUUGUCAACUCUUGAAGAGAAAGUAAGCAGGUGUGUGAUUUUAGUCGUCUAUAUAGCAUCCUUUUUAGUCAAUAAAUUUAUUGCACUUGAGGGUUCAAAUAUGUCAUAGACUAGGUGUCUAUUAAAAAAAAGUGAAGAGAAGAAGAGAACACCAUAUUUGGUUGAACAGACAAUUAACUUCACUUAAAAAAACAGAGGCAAAUUAAAUUCUAGAUAAACUUCCGAGUGCAAUGGCGGAAGUUAUUGUGGUGCUUGGGUUGGUUUGUUUUUCUGCAACCUUGGUGUAGCAGUUAUCUUGCACAUGAAGACUAUUACCUUCCUUAAGAAAUUGGUAAUAAAGAGAAUUGCUUGUGAUCUUUUGCGUGGUGGGACUGUGCAGGAAUGCUACUCAAGAAGUUGUCCACUUGCAGGAACGUUGAGAAGCUCACGUAAUGUAGUAUUGUUUGUACCUUUUUUUAUAUAUAUAUUUCCUUUACUUGUCCUUAACUAAAACUUUCAGCUACGAUCCUUUCUCAGUUACAGAGAUCCAUGCUGUAUCUAUCGAUCUGUAGCUACUGUUGUGUGCAGCCGAUGCAGAAUCCUGCGGCUCCGAUGCCUGCCAGGGAGAAGGAGGAAGAUGCUGGGUGGAGCUUUCCGGACCUCUCCGAUGCCUGCCAGGGAGGAGGACGAUGCUGGGUGGAGCUUUUCCGUACCUCUGUGCGGCUGACAUCGCUGACGGUUGGCCAAGAUGGGGAUGAGCUCCUGAAGGCCUUGUUAGCCGCCCAGCCACGAGACGGCGAAGUGGUGGCCCACACUGACAGUGACCUCGUGGUUGUCAGAUUGUUCUCACGGAUGUAUAGCUCUAGCGGGUUGGAGUACCAGAACUCGUCCGGGGACACGAACACCUCCAUGACUGCAUGGUAGGUGCUCAAUGGAAUGCUCAAACCUCCGCAUCCAAGUGGAUCCCUUCCGCCAACUCCUGGAGGAUCCUGUCCCACCCGUUGCUGUACCCAGAAGGCUUCGCCUGCUGCCUACAUGGUGCCAUCUAAGGAUUCAAUGCCCCACAAAGUGCAACCACCGCUCCUCCUCCCUGACCGGGGAGGUGCCUCUCUCCUCUCUCGCCACCUGCACCUGAUUCUGCUUACUCCCAGGAUAACAAGGCCAAGAUGUCUAGCAGCAUAGGGGCGUGGACGGGAUGGCAGCGAGUCUCCAUUACUGGGAGCGCUCCAAGCACUGCGGCAUCACUCCAUGAUUUGUUGGUAUGAACUCGAGACCAUGUUCAUAUGCAGAUCCAUGUGAAAGGUGUUGAUCCAUAUUGCAGGUGGAUAUGAUGCAUGUUCGAAGUAUUGGACAAAAUCAAUGUGCAGUUUCUAUCGUUGUGAGUGUGUAUUAGCUUGAUCCUCUUCUGAUCACUUUGACCCAUUUUUUCUACAUUGGAUUCAUGUUCGAUUAGAGUGGGAUGCAAAGAAUAAUGAACCACCUUGAUUGAUGCUACCUUAUUGAUACAUCAUUGACAGUUCAGUCUUGUGAAAGACGUGAAAGGGAGGUUGGGUGUAAGAUUUCAGAGUUUUUGCGAGGCAGAGUAGAGAGGAGGGGAAGAUGUGACUGCGACCAUGUGAGACAUGGAUUUGAUGAAUGCCAUUGGAUUAAGUUUUAUAUGAAAAUUCAAGAACCAAAGUGUUGUCUCUAAUGUCACUUUUUAUUCACUUGUUUGGGAAAAAUAAAUAGAAAUUAAGUGUCAGAUUCAAAAACCAUUGCAAUGCAUUGGUAUCGUACUAAUAUAUAUAUACUCUAUUGUUGAGAUGACCGGAUCUAGUCCAAGUGUGGCCGAAUUUGAAGGACCAAAUGGGCUAUCCAUGGAAGGCCUUCGUUUGUACCCGAGCCUCCUCCUACAUGUUACGCGGCAAGUUCUCGCGACUUCUAUGGUUCUACCCCGAGACGGCGGCGGAUGGCAUCAGCGUCGGGGGCUCCCCUGGCGGCGGAGGCACUCUGCAGUGGCCGCAUCCUCUCCAGCCGCCUGUUCCUCGAUGUCCCCAGCUCCAAGGUUGGCCCACCCCAACGUUGAGGUCGAUCUGGACUCCAUGGAUGGGGGCGAAGAAGACAAAGCACUCAUUGGCGAUGGUGAGGUCGUCCCUGACUCCGUGGACGAGGGCAACAGAGAUGAAGCUCUCAUCGGCGAGGUUGUUCCAGACUCGGACAAAGACGAGGAAGAAUAGUACGUUGGCGCAAACGCCGACGAGGAUGUGGCAAUUGAAGGUGAACAAGACGUA
Phragmites australis (common reed) is the source of this 3748-nucleotide RNA transcript. RefSeq lists it as uncharacterized. The record is from RefSeq and is a predicted model, not a curated record. Lineage: Eukaryota; Viridiplantae; Streptophyta; Magnoliopsida; Poales; Poaceae. The transcript is spliced from 5 exons.